Molecule: long non-coding RNA, 779 nt
Organism: Drosophila pseudoobscura
Lineage: Eukaryota; Metazoa; Arthropoda; Insecta; Diptera; Drosophilidae
Exons: 2
Source: RefSeq, a predicted model, not a curated record
AAUCUGGAACCCAAAAGUGUCCAACCACUGUCGAUCUGUUAGUUAGGAGCGUUCAAAACCGACCUUCUUCUUUAUCAGAACUUGUCAUAGAUACGAGCAUGAUGAUGGGGCGAUGAUUAUCAGAAUUGUUAUAUUUAGCACCCACUGCAAACGCAUCUAUCUGCGGAUUGGAGCGGAUUGCGGGAGCAAACACAAACACAAACAUGUUGUAAAACACAAAAUACAGAAGUCAGGGAGGAGGAGCACCCGGUACAGGCACACUCUACCAGAAGCCCAGCAGCAUUUCAGACCCAUAAAAAGUUACGCAAAAGAUCUUUGGGGAGGACUGAGGCAACACCUACGGGUACGUAAGUACUAAGCAAAUCUGGUGCAUGCUCGUUUCUAAAUAUAAUCUGUAUGGGGUUUAGCUGGUAUUUAAUUCGUAAAUUUAUUUAAAUUUAAGUUUAAUUUGUGUAAGAUUUAUCUCUGUUUUUUAUAAUUAUCUUUGUAUAAAAAAAAUGCAAUUGGGUGACUCUCGGACUGGUGGCUCUUAGGAGAUUCAGUUUUUGGAAUACUUCUGAUAUAUACCCAACAAUUUAUGUAAUGAUAAUCCAAGAUUGUGAUGACAAGCUCGUCGAUAAAAAAGAAGAGCAGUUUGAUUGGAGUCCCUCCCUAUAUAUCUGAAUUUGAUGCCUUCAACUAAUGCCUAUUUAGAGCGGAAACGAAUGUAUCCUCACGAUUUGUUCGAUGAUGAUUGGAUUCUCCCAAGACUAAUAAAUUCCUUAACCCUAUUUUAUGAA